RNAcentral lists this long non-coding RNA (583 nucleotides) under Ananas comosus (pineapple). RNAcentral describes it as "long non-coding RNA (ACOM_LNC036535)". Lineage: Eukaryota; Viridiplantae; Streptophyta; Magnoliopsida; Poales; Bromeliaceae. The record is from RNAcentral.
CUAUUUGUGUUUGUAUAUGAAAUAAUAAUAAAUAGGAAUAAUUGUCUAUAUAUCCUUCAAAACUUUAGAAAUAUCUCAUUUAUUCUUUUUUUUUUCCAAUAUACCCCUCAUAUGUUCAUCCGUUUUUCUAAAAUAUUCCUACAGUUACUACCCGUUAAAUUAACUUGGAUUAAAUAUGAGUUAAAUAUUUACUAGAAUUAAAAAAAAUCAAAAUGCCUAUUUUGCUCUUAAUUUAAGAACAAAUAAGAAAUGUUGGUGAUGAUGGAAGGGUAUAUUUGAAAAGCCCAAAAAUCAAAUUGCUUUUGUGCCCCUAACUUAAGAGCAAAUAAGAAAAGUCGAUGAUGGUGAAAUGGUAUAUUUGAAAGGGCAAAAUAGUAAUUUCAUACAAAUAACAGCUAUUGUUAACAGAAUUUAACUAUGGGAGUAUAUUUGAAAUAGUUGAAACGUAAAAAUGAUAUUUUCAAUAUUAGCCUUCUAAAAUAAGUAAAUCAGAAAGUCGGAAACUUUUCAGGAAUAUAUAAAUAAUUAUCCCUAAUAAAUAUAAUGUUGAUUAUUUGGUUGAUUGGGAAAUUGAGAUAUAAUA